GACGAACGCUGGCGGCGUGCUUAACACAUGCAAGUCGAACGGAAAGGCCCUGCUUUUGUGGGGUGCUCGAGUGGCGAACGGGUGAGUAACACGUGAGUAACCUGCCCUUGACUUUGGGAUAACUUCAGGAAACUGGGGCUAAUACCGGAUAGGAGCUCCUGCUGCAUGGUGGGGGUUGGAAAGUUUCGGCGGUUGGGGAUGGACUCGCGGCUUAUCAGCUUGUUGGUGGGGUAGUGGCUUACCAAGGCUUUGACGGGUAGCCGGCCUGAGAGGGUGACCGGCCACAUUGGGACUGAGAUACGGACCAGACUCCAACGGGAGGCAGCAGUGGGGAAUAUUGCACAAUGGGCCGAAGCCUGAUGCAGCAACGCCGCGUGCGGGAUGACGGCCUUCGGGUUGUAAACCGCUUUCGCCUGUGACGAAGCGUGAGUGACGGUAAUGGGUAAAGAAGCACCGGCUAACUACGUG
RNAcentral lists this ribosomal RNA (468 nucleotides) under uncultured bacterium. Its description in RNAcentral is "partial 16S ribosomal RNA". It matches the Rfam family "Bacterial small subunit ribosomal RNA", at positions 28 to 507 of the family's 1533-position model. The record is from RNAcentral.